CGAAAUCUAUAAUUCAUAUUGGAAAAAUGUAGUAAAAUUAAGAUGUAAUUUUAUAGAACUAACCGAAACCUGAAUUAUCAAAAAAACAAACAAAGAUAUAUAUGUUUCGGUGAAUAUCUAAAACCUCCCAGACACAAUUAUCGGGAAGCCUUUCCCGACAAUGUUUUUUGACGCCGACGGAGGUCCAACGGCGACCCAAACUCCAGUGACGGAGGCCAGCGAUGGGGUCCCGCGUUCGUCCUCAGGUCUCACCCUCUGUUCGCACGAUCUCAGCCAAAGCCACCAAUUCCAAGU
Molecule: long non-coding RNA, 294 nt
Organism: Arabidopsis thaliana (thale cress)
Lineage: Eukaryota; Viridiplantae; Streptophyta; Magnoliopsida; Brassicales; Brassicaceae
Product: other RNA
Exons: 2
Source: RefSeq